This 506-nucleotide ribosomal RNA is filed under the name uncultured Glomeraceae. RNAcentral's name for it is "SSU rRNA". It matches the Rfam family "Eukaryotic small subunit ribosomal RNA", at positions 569 to 1078 of the family's 1831-position model. The record is from RNAcentral. Lineage: Eukaryota; Fungi; Glomeromycota; Glomeromycetes; Glomerales; Glomeraceae.
AGCAGCCGCGGUAAUUCCAGCUCCAAUAGCGUAUAUUAAAGUUGUUGCAGUUAAAAAGCUCGUAGUUGAAUUUCGGAAUCAAUAUAUCGGUCGUGCCUUGGUACGUACUGGUAUCAUUGGUUUCUCCUUUCUGACGAACCAUGAUGUCAUUAAUUUGGUGUUAUGGGAAGUUAGGACUGUUACUUUGAAAAAUUAGAGUGUUUAAAGCAGGCUUUAGCUUGAAUACAUUAGCAUGGAAUAAUGAAAUAGGACGUUCGAACCUAUUUUGUUGGUUUCUAGGAUCAACGUAAUGAUUAAUAGGGAUAGUUGGGGGCAUUAGUAUUCAAUUGUCAGAGGUGAAAUUCUUGGAUUUAUUGAAGACUAACUACUGCGAAAGCAUUUGCCAAGGAUGUUUUCAUUAAUCAAGAACGAAAGUUGGGGGAUCGAAGACGAUCAGAUACCGUCGUAGUCUUAACCAUAAACUAUGCCGACUAGGGAUCGGAUGAUGUUAAUUUUUUAAUGACUCA